AUACGGAGGAUCCGAGCGUUAUCCGGAUUUAUUGGUUUAAAGGGUGCGCAGGCGGCCAUUUAAGUCAGCGGUUAAAUCGUGGGGCUCAACCCCAUUCUGCCGUUGAUACUGGGUGGCUUGAUUGCGGUCGAGGUUGGCGGAAUUCGUUGUGUAGCGGUGAAAUGCAUAGAUAUGACGAAGAACACCGAUUGCGUAGGCAGCUGACCAGACCGCAAAUGACGCUCAUGCACGAAAGUGCGGGGAUCGAACAGGAUUAGAUACCCUGGUAGUCCGCACAGUAAACGAUGAAUACUUGUUUUCGGCGAUAUAAUGUCGGAGGCAAAGCGAAAGCGAUAAGUAUUCCACCUGGGGAGUACGCCGGCAACGGUGAAACUUAAAGGAAUUGACGGGG
RNAcentral lists this ribosomal RNA (391 nucleotides) under uncultured bacterium. Its description in RNAcentral is "partial 16S ribosomal RNA". It matches the Rfam family "Bacterial small subunit ribosomal RNA", at positions 523 to 918 of the family's 1533-position model. The record is from RNAcentral.